UACGAAGGGGGCUAGCGUUGCUCGGAAUCACUGGGCGUAAAGCGCACGUAGGCGGACUCUUAAGUCGGUGGUGAAAUCCUGGAGCUCAACUCCAGAACUGCCUUCGAUACUGAGAGUCUCGAGUCCGAGAGAGGUGAGUGGAACUGCGAGUGUAGAGGUGAAAUUCGUAGAUAUUCGCAAGAACACCAGUGGCGAAGGCGGCUUACUGGUCCGGAACUGACGCUGAGGUGCGAAAGCGUGGGGAGCAAACAGG
Molecule: ribosomal RNA, 253 nt
Filed under: uncultured bacterium
Lineage: Bacteria
Description: partial 16S ribosomal RNA
Rfam family: Bacterial small subunit ribosomal RNA
Source: RNAcentral